Molecule: long non-coding RNA, 2006 nt
Organism: Nicotiana tabacum (common tobacco)
Lineage: Eukaryota; Viridiplantae; Streptophyta; Magnoliopsida; Solanales; Solanaceae
Source: RefSeq, a predicted model, not a curated record
UCAAUUUUCUUUUUUGUUGGAAAAAUUCCCUUUUCUACUUUACUCUUUCAAUAUCAGAUCUUUUUAAUUUUUCUCUGAUAUGAUCUAAUUUUUCCAUGAUAUGGCAUGUGAUGUGGUCUGAUUAUUAAAUUUUGGGCUUUGCAUAUUGUGAUUUUUGCAAGCUAAGACUUCAAUCUCUGGAAAUCAGGCUUUUACAUUUUCGUUCUUUAUUUCACAUUCUUGGGUCCUUAUUUUGAUUUAUUUACUCAUGCAUGUUUCGAAAAUUGAUACCUGAGCGCAUAAUUUGGAAUAGUAGAUAAAUACACUUAAUCUCAAAAGUAAUUACUACUUCAAGAUUCCUACAGCUAUAUUAGAAGCAGCAAUUGAGUGGGACGAACACUGAACUAACUGAUUGUGCAAAAGGCAAUGUACAAUGUACUGUAAGCGCUGGUCCAUUUUAUUGGUAGUCAAGACUUUUUCUAUAGACACAAUUCGUGUCAAUUGAAUUGCUCUCUUCUUCUAGAGUUUCAAAGAGAGAGAAAUCUGUGGGCGUGGAGCUUAAUCCACUAGAUGUCUUAGUUUUGGUGUUCUUCGUGUUCAGACUUUUCAAUGACAAAGCUAUUUUUUUUCUUUUUGUCACUCAUUCUCUAUAUUGCCUUUUGGUUCUGCAUUUAUAUCAAAAUUUCUCCAGCUUUGCCAUUAAUUAGCAUAUGUGGAUUCUGAGUUCUGCGUAGUUCUUCUCAGCUCUUUCUUGAAAAUUGCUAUCUAGAACAAAAAUAGUAAUGACAAAGGGAAGAACUUUGAUGCCACCUGUGUCUGAUGAAAUCUCCCAGCAAAAUGAGGGCGUCUAUGGCGUGAAGAGAAAUUAGCUCCAAAAAUUAAUCGGUUGAUAGUACCAAUAAUGGCUAAUGAAGCUCAGUUACAGACUUCGCUCUAUUUAAUGGAUCCUAUGCUUUUGUCUCAAUAUUUCUUACUUUACUGUCUACAAGGAGUUACCAGCUAAGUGUAAAGUGUUUCUAGAUUUAAUUUUAUUUGAUGUUCUUUGAAAAUUGUAUUCCAUUUGCUUGCAUGUGUAUUUCUAUUGCAGUAUGACUGCAAAUUAGAUAUAACUGUAAGAAUGAGUAGAAAAUUUCUCAUGUGAUAUCUUUUUAAUUUAGAAUUCUUUCAAACAAACUGAAAAAAAUUAUCGUAUGUCAGGAAUUCCUGCUUCCAGAGGAUUUAUUUUCUAUGUGAUCUUUUAACUUCCAUGUAAUAUGACUUAUUGAGGAAUUUUUUGUGAAUGUUGUUGAAUUCUUUGAUAUUACUGUGAAAUUAGCAGUGAAAAUAAAGGUUGAAACUCAAGGAGCCGGGAGCCAUAGUGCAAAUGAAAGAUUAUAAUUUUGCUCAUAUGGGAAAGGAAUGUUGAUUAUGGCAUAUAUUAGUUAGACACAUCUUAUGAUGAAUAAGGGAAGCUGAAUACUUCAGCUGAAAAAUGCAAAUGAGGAGAGCAAUAACAUGACAAAUGCCUCGAGCACCUGCACAAUUCAUCACCAUUGUUAUCCCAUAAAUACUUGACUUCCUCUUUAGCGUACCUGACAGAAAAUAAUGCAGCCAUCAAGCAAUGGGAAUUUCCAACUCUCCUGUUUGAGGCUUUAAGCGCAGAGCUAUCCAAAUAAAUUUUCUACUGUUGAAGAGGAGGAAAUAAUUAUUUAAGAUUAAGUUUUUGCAGCGAAAGAGAGAUAUUAAUUCUGUACAACUGUUGUUGCCAAUGUUCUUGCUACUGUAACUCAAGACGGCCAGACUUGAAGAGCUUAGUGCAAGGGUCUUAAAAAACCAAUGGAAUGCGAUCUCAUAGGCAAUUUCUUAUGAGGGCUGGACAUUUUCUACCUUUAUGAGAGAUGAAACAACAAAAUUCUGUUAUAUUUUAGCUUCUCACUUCCUUCACGAAACCUAGAUUGGUUUAUAUAUAUUUUGUUUUUUGGUUGAAUGUAACUAUGUUAAUUGAGCUUUUUUAAGUGGCAAUAAGGAACUCCCACAUGAGUACACUA